UGGGCGUAAAGGGCUCGCAGGCGGUUUCUUAAGUCUGAUGUGAAAGCCCCCGGCUCAACCGGGGAGGGUCAUUGGAAACUGGGGAACUUGAGUGCAGAAGAGGAGAGUGGAAUUCCACGUGUAGCGGUGAAAUGCGUAGAGAUGUGGAGGAACACCAGUGGCGAAGGCGACUCUCUGGUCUGUAACUGACGCUGAGGAGCGAAAGCGUGGGGAGCGAACAGGAUUAGAUACCCUGGUAGUCCACGCCGUAAACGAUGAGUGCUAAGUGUUAGGGGGUUUCCGCCCCUUAGUGCUGCAGCUAACGCAUUAAGCACUCCGCCUGGGGAGUACGGUCGCAAGACUGAAACUCAAAGGAAUUGACGGGGGCCCGCACAAGCGGUGGAGCAUGUGGUUUAAUUCGAAGCAACGCGAAGAACCUUACCAGGUCUUGACAUCCUCUGACAAUCCUAGAGAUAGGACGUCCCCUUCGGGGGCAGAGUGACAGGUGGUGCAUGGUUGUCGUCAGCUCGUGUCGUGAGAUGUUGGGUUAAGUCCCGCAACGAGCGCAACCCUUGAUCUUAGUUGCCAGCAUUCAGUUGGGCACUCUAAGGUGACUGCCGGUGACAAACCGGAGGAAG
This 617-nucleotide ribosomal RNA is filed under the name Bacillus subtilis. RNAcentral describes it as "bacterial SSU rRNA". It matches the Rfam family "Bacterial small subunit ribosomal RNA", at positions 555 to 1172 of the family's 1533-position model. Lineage: Bacteria; Bacillati; Bacillota; Bacilli; Caryophanales; Bacillaceae. The record is from RNAcentral.